This 213-nucleotide ribosomal RNA is filed under the name Cylindrospermopsis raciborskii S14. RNAcentral's name for it is "partial 23S ribosomal RNA". It matches the Rfam family "Bacterial large subunit ribosomal RNA", at positions 2716 to 2925 of the family's 2925-position model. The record is from RNAcentral. Lineage: Bacteria; Bacillati; Cyanobacteriota; Cyanophyceae; Nostocales; Aphanizomenonaceae.
ACCAGUUAUUCCGCCAGGAGUAGACGCUGGGUAGCCAAGUUCGGAGAGGAUAACCGCUGAAAGCAUCUAAGUGGGAAGCCCACCUUAAGAUGAGUGUUCUCACUACGAGAGUAGGUAAGGUCACGGGGAGAACACCCGUUAAUAGGCUUUAUGUGGAAGUACAGUAAUGUAUGUAGCAGAGAAGUCCUAACAGACCGAGGGCUUGACCUCAAA